GAUGAACGCUGGCGGCGUGCCUAAUACAUGCAAGUCGAGCGAACAGACGAGGAGCUUGCUCCUCUGACGUUAGCGGCGGACGGGUGAGUAACACGUGGAUAACCUACCUAUAAGACUGGGAUAACUUCGGGAAACCGGAGCUAAUACCGGAUAAUAUAUUGAACCGCAUGGUUCAAUAGUGAAAGACGGUUUUGCUGUCACUUAUAGAUGGAUCCGCGCCGCAUUAGCUAGUUGGUAGGGUAACGGCUUACCAAGGCAACGAUGCGUAGCCGACCUGAGAGGGUGAUCGGCCACACUGGAACUGAGACACGGUCCAGACGCCUACGGGAGGCAGCAGUAGGGAAUCUUCCGCAAUGGGCGAAAGCCUGACGGAGCAACGCCGCGUGAGUUAUGAAGGUCUUCGGAUCGUAAAACUCUGUUAUUAGGGAAGAACAAAUGUGUAAGUAACUAUGCACGUCUUGACGGUACCUAAUCAGAAAGCCACGGCUAACUACGUG
RNAcentral lists this ribosomal RNA (497 nucleotides) under uncultured bacterium. RNAcentral's name for it is "partial 16S ribosomal RNA". It matches the Rfam family "Bacterial small subunit ribosomal RNA", at positions 28 to 507 of the family's 1533-position model. The record is from RNAcentral.